GAUCGCUCUCUUUCCCCCUACCCAAGUGGGCGCACAACUUUUCGCUCCUCGCUCCCGAGCAAGCCCCGCGCGUCUCUGCCGCCAGAGCCACGAGGUGAAGAUGCGCCCUUCCGCGCGGUGCGCGCAGCCCGCUGAGGACCGAGCUCCUGGAUAAGUGGGCUGGCAGAUAAUAACAGCAUGCGGAUGAGAUACCAUCCUUGCGGUUCUCCUGCCUCCACCAAGACCUGCCCUGUCUGUGGUCACUUCAAGUCUUCUGAUGGGCUGCGCUCAGAUCUUGAGAAAUGGCCACCCUGGGGUAAAAGGGACCAUGAAUCAGGAGGUCCAGAUUUCUUUUCUUUUUCAACACUGGGGCUAACAUGUAGACGAUGCCACAGUCAUCAUCUUCUAAUAAAAUUAGAUAAAUAUAAGA
Long non-coding RNA from Homo sapiens (human), 409 nucleotides. RefSeq lists it as uncharacterized. The record is from RefSeq and is a predicted model, not a curated record. Lineage: Eukaryota; Metazoa; Chordata; Mammalia; Primates; Hominidae. The transcript is spliced from 2 exons.